This 619-nucleotide ribosomal RNA is filed under the name uncultured bacterium. Its description in RNAcentral is "bacterial SSU rRNA". The stretch from base 1 to 541 matches the Rfam family "Bacterial small subunit ribosomal RNA", at positions 338 to 873 of the family's 1533-position model. The record is from RNAcentral.
CCUACGGGAGGCAGCAGUGGGGAAUUUUGGACAAUGGGCGCAAGCCUGAUCCAGCCAUUCCGCGUGAGUGAAGAAGGCCUUCGGGUUGUAAAGCUCUUUCGCAAGGGAAGAAAGAUUACAUUCUAAUAUAAUGUGAUUAUGACGGUACCUUGAUAAGAAGCACCGGCUAACUACGUGCCAGCAGCCGCGGUAAUACGUAGGGUGCGAGCGUUAAUCGGAAUUACUGGGCGUAAAGCGUGCGCAGGCUGUUUUGUAAGUCAGAUGUGAAAUCCCCGAGCUCAACUUGGGAACUGCGUUUGAAACUACAAGACUAGAAUAGGUCAGAGGGGGGUAGAAUUCCACGUGUAGCAGUGAAAUGCGUAGAGAUGUGGAGGAAUAUCAAUGGCGAAGGCAGCCCCCUGGGAUCAUAUUGACGCUCAUGCACGAAAGCGUGGGGAGCAAACAGGAUUAGAUACCCUGGUAGUCCACGCCCUAAACGAUGUCAACUAGUUGUUGGUAGAGUAAAAUCUAUGAGUAACGCAGCACGACGUGAGUAGACGCCGNGGGAGGAGAGUCGCGAGAGUAAACUACAAUAGAGUAGAGACGNGAGAGNGCGACGGACGACGACGAGGGAGGUAGG